CGGGGGGAGCAAGCGUUGUUCGGAUUUACUGGGCGUAAAGGGCGCGUAGGCGGCCAGCGCAAGUCAGUUGUGAAAUCUCCGGGCUUAGCUCGGAAAGGUCAACUGAUACUGCGCGGCUAGAGUGCAGAAGGGGCAACUGGAAUUCUCGGUGUAGCGGUGAAAUGCGUAGAUAUCGAGAGGAACACCUGCGGCGAAGGCGGGUUGCUGGGCUGACACUGACGCUGAUGCGCGAAAGCCAGGGGAGCGAACGGGAUUAGAUACCCCGGUAGUCCUGGCCUUAAACGAUGGAUGCUUGGUGUCUGGAGUUUUAUAGUCUCCGGGUGCCGCAGCUAACGCGUUAAGCAUCCCGCCUGGGGAGUACGGUCGCAAGACUG
This 374-nucleotide ribosomal RNA is filed under the name uncultured organism. RNAcentral describes it as "bacterial SSU rRNA". It matches the Rfam family "Bacterial small subunit ribosomal RNA", at positions 526 to 896 of the family's 1533-position model. The record is from RNAcentral.